This 274-nucleotide ribosomal RNA is filed under the name uncultured bacterium. RNAcentral's name for it is "partial 16S ribosomal RNA". It matches the Rfam family "Bacterial small subunit ribosomal RNA", at positions 523 to 796 of the family's 1533-position model. The record is from RNAcentral.
AUACGGAGGGUGCAAGCGUUAUCCGGAAUCAUUGGGUUUAAAGGGUCCGUAGGCGGGCUAAUAAGUCAGGGGUGAAAUCCCACAGCUUAACUGUGGAACUGCCCUUGAUACUGUUGGUCUUGAGCUACAGUGAAGUGGUUAGAAUGUGUAGUGUAGCGGUGAAAUGCAUAGAGAUUACACAGAAUACCGAUUGCGAAGGCAGAUCACUAACUGUAUACUGACGCUAAUGGACGAAAGCGUGGGGAGCGAACAGGAUUAGAAACCCCAGUAGUCC